UGGGGAAUAUUGGACAAUGGGCGCAAGCCUGAUCCAGCCAUGCCGCGUGAGUGAUGAAGGCCUUAGGGUUGUAAAGCUCUUUUAGCAGGGACGAUAAUGACGGUACCUGCAGAAAAAGCCCCGGCCAACUUCGUGCCAGCAGCCGCGGUAAUACGAAGGGGGCUAGCGUUGCUCGGAAUCACUGGGCGUAAAGCGCACGUAGGUGGGUCGUUAAGUCGGGGGUGAAAUCCCAGAGCUCAACUCUGGAACUGCCUUCGAUACUGGCGACCUUCGAGUUCGGGAGAGGUGAGUGGACCUGCGAGUGUAGAGGUGAAAUUCGUAGAUAUUCGCAAGAACACCAGUGGCGAAGGCGGCUCACUGGCCCGAUACUGACACUGAGGUGCGAAAGCGUGGGGAGCAAACA
Molecule: ribosomal RNA, 403 nt
Filed under: uncultured bacterium
Lineage: Bacteria
Description: bacterial SSU rRNA
Rfam family: Bacterial small subunit ribosomal RNA
Source: RNAcentral